CUCCCCCUCCCCCAUUUUUAAUGCAUUUUUACAUGGAACAAUAAAAAGAAAGAUCAACUUUAAAAUGGUAGAAGCACAAGGCUGUGGCAAGGAAGCACAUUUCAGGCAACAAAAUGUGUGUUGGCCAGUGUAACAGCAAGGCAAAACCUGCCACAUUCACAUGGAACAAUAACAAAAGAAAUAUCAAUUUUCAAAUGGUAAAAGCACAAAGUGAAGAGGCAGAAGUAUCAUUUUCUUCAUAUUGUACUCAUCUCAGACUCGCUCCCUCUCUUGCUUUCUCUUCCUCUCUCUCAUGAAGACAAACAUACCUGGAAUAAAAACCACACAAAAAACUAACCUUAAAGUCUCCUUAAAGUGGACAAAAGCAGACAGCAAUCUCCCACAGUGGACAAGAGCACGAAGCACAGACUGCUCCCUUAGCCCUGUAAGUUGGGGCUCUCAUAAGUUGAGGUUCCACUGUUUCUCUGUUUGAGCUGUUUGACUGCUGUUUACAAACUUUGGAAUUUUGACACGGAUGUACUAUCUGGCUUUUGACCUUGGACUAUUUUGACACACUCUUCUCCCAUUCUUCUUGCAGCAUCACUGAUCUCUCAGUAUCUGACUUGGCUUUGCUUGUUCAUUGGUGACAUACCUCUGAUUCUGACCAGCUGAGCUGUGCUUUACUGGACCUGCAUGUAAGUUUUUGCUGACGAAGAAUUUAGAUGAACCUGUUCUGGCAAAGCCUCUGCAAUGAGAGUACUUCAGAAGUAAACAUGGAAAUAUAAUGACAUAAAGUAGCUUACAUGUAAUAAAAAUAAAUAGUACUCUCGGAUGCAUGUCUGCUUCAGAGAUCUGCUUAAUUCAAUAGGACUUACUUCCAAGUGUGUGUAUAUGUAGCUUUAAAUUGCAAAUUAAUAAAGAUGAAUGUUCUAUAUUAAUUAAUAUGAAGUUCUAUAACACCAAAUCUAUAUAACAAACUCUUUGAAAGCUA
This is a long non-coding RNA of Anolis carolinensis (green anole), 970 nucleotides long. RefSeq lists it as uncharacterized. The transcript has 2 exons. Lineage: Eukaryota; Metazoa; Chordata; Lepidosauria; Squamata; Anolidae. The record is from RefSeq and is a predicted model, not a curated record.